Molecule: long non-coding RNA, 2097 nt
Filed under: Lactuca sativa (garden lettuce)
Lineage: Eukaryota; Viridiplantae; Streptophyta; Magnoliopsida; Asterales; Asteraceae
Description: long non-coding RNA (LSAT_LNC007827)
Source: RNAcentral
UUUUGUUAAACUUGAUAAACCACAAUUGCAAGAGAUAGCUACAAAAUCUUAUUCAAAACUAAACGUCAAUUCAAAUCUUAUUGGAUUGCAAAUACGUUGAAGCUAAUUUCAAUAGUAUCUUGUAUUCCAUUGCCGAUUCAUCUCUCCUAUUUUGGGUCUUCGGUGUUGAUCUGGUAUGUUUUCCCUUUUUUUUGUUUCACCUAAUUCCCACACAAGUUUCUAAAAAUCGUUUUUUAUACAUUUUCUAUUUGCUUUGAUAUUUUGUCUCUGGGUUUGACCAAUGGGAUGUUUUGAACACUGAAUUCGUAUCUGAAUUAUUAGUUCGCGUUUUCUAUUGUUUAUGUUCGUCAUUUAUGAAGGUACUAAGGGUUAGAAGAUUAGAACUUUGCAUUUUCAUUUGAAUAUUGAUUGUUAUUCCCCACAUCUUUACAUACUUAUUGUAGAUUAAUGCGGAAAAGCUACUAAAGAUAGCAAGUGUUGUUUGCAAGGGUAGUUUUAGAAGGUUAGAACUUUACAUUUGCAUUUGAAUGUCAUAACUGGCACAAUCAAGUGUAGUGAUUCCAUUUUUCUAGCAAAAUAGCAACUUACUUAUGAUUUCUUCCACUUUGAGCAAAAUACCUUGAUUUUUGUAAUAAUUAAAUCCAAAAAUGUUGCUAUGAGGUCGUUGUCGACUCUAAACUUUACAUACACAUACAAGAAAUUAAUGUGCUAUAUAGGUAAUCUCACACUGUUGAUUUCCUUAUUAAAGUUCAGUAAGGUUUAAAUUAAAUGCCAAAUUUUGUGGUGCCUGUUUUCGUGAAUCUAUUUUUCAUAUUGUUGAGGCAAUAAAGGCAUAUUUGAUUAUUGUUAGACUUUUAAACUAAUUAUUUCUGUUAAAAAUAAAGAUAAAACUAUAAUGUUAAUUGGAUAGAUAUUUUAUACGCUAAAAUAUAUAAACAUGCCCUUUUUGGUUAUUUUAUAUUUACCUUUUGUGCAAUAAUUUUCUCAAAAUUCGAUCAUCAAGCUUUUAUUCCAGGCUAUAUAAUUGAUCAAGAAAUUGUCUAGAGAUUAUUAUGUGGCCAAAAGCCCAGCUAUCAAAGGUUUGUUCUUUUCACUGUACAUACUUCAUUAUCUAUUUGGUUCUAAAGCAUUUGAAUUUGAGCAUCAAAUGCUUCCAAUAAAUAUGAUUAUAAAAUGUAAUUUUUUUUGUUUCUAGAUUAUAAACAAUCUAAAGUUAUUUUAAUAUCAUGUUUCUAUUAUGACAAUGUUUUCAGCGGUUCAAAUCUCUGUCUUAUUAUGGUUUGGUUUUAUAUUUUUUUCCAUAAAAAAUAAGCAUUUAUAUGCAAACGGGUUCAAAUCCCAAAAAUAAUUUGUACAUGUAAAAAAGGAAUUAACGAAUUUUGUUUCUUUGGUUAAAUUCCAAAGAAUAUAGUUGGUUGGUUUUAUAUUUGUUCCCAUAAAAAAUUGGCAUUUAUAUGCCCAAGAGUUGAAAUCCCGAAAAUAUUGGUCUUUACUUUCAGGGGUAUAUUAGGAAUUUCUUAUAUAAAAAAGGAAUUGACAGGUUUUAUCCUUCUGGUGUUGCCCACUUAGUGCAUUGUUAUUUUUGGCUUCGGAGGUGUUACAGAUCUGUAAUCCUUUGCUGCUGUUUUACUUAGGCUUUUAGGUUUAGUUUGGUGUGGUUGUAGUGAAUUUCUUGUAUUUGUACUCCUUUGGUUGGUGUCCAGCUUCUCUUUACCUUUUUUAUUUUAUAUAUUUUACUUUUAAAUGUUUUGUUAAUCUUUUGUCUUAUUUGUGUAAUUGUAGGGAUGCUUUUAUGUUCUAAUAACUUGAAAAGUGUAUCCAUGUAUGUUUAAUAGAGAGACGAAGAUGAAGAAAAUGAUCCAAGAUGUUGACUCUAUUUCCACAAUCACAUAGUCAAGUUCUAUAAACAUUAAAAGUGUAUUCAUGCAUGUCGUUUCCACGAUUGAUUGUGUUUUUUUACACUCUAUUCAAAUUUAUAUUAUGUUCUAUAAAAUCAAUAAUUAUAUUAAAUGUCUUUACGUACGUAAUGUAUAUUGGAUAUUCAAAUAAAAAUAUAUAUUAAUUUUACUUUUUAAAUGUUUAAUUUUACAACACUAU